GACAAUCCAGAAGAAUUUAUGGGAAAGAAUUCUAGCUACAUCCAGAGAAAGAACUGGAAGAUUAGAAAUGCAAAGCAACAUAUGAUCGAUCAGUAAUCCUGGAAGGUAGGAGAUUUUAUUCCCAUUUUCCAGAUGAAGAAAGACACCGACUGAGGUAGUCAAAAAGUCCAGCAACUUGCACAUUGCUGUAGUGACUUGGGAGCAAUGACUUUGGCAAGAAACUUAAAAGAUCAUUGUAACUAUUCAUGACAAUCAUCCAACUCCCUCAUUUUGCAUUUGAAGAAACUAAGUCCAUGGAAGGUGAACUAAUUUCUGGGGAAUCCUACAUCCAGAAGAAGUCUAUUGAUUUGGGGAUGAAGACGGCUGAGGAAAAACUGAACACAUCAAUAAAACCUUUUGCCAAAAAAGGAAGAAAAAGGAAAUUAAAUGAAGUAAUCUUGACUAAGAUAUAAUAUAUGUGGGAAAUACUAUGAAAACCCUUUAUGUUGCUGAGGAUGUGGAGAAAGAAUAAAAAUUGCCUUAUUCAUUUAUCUGUUAUUCCA
This 542-nucleotide long non-coding RNA is filed under the name Monodelphis domestica (gray short-tailed opossum). RNAcentral describes it as "lncRNA (ENSMODG00000037277.1)". The record is from RNAcentral. Lineage: Eukaryota; Metazoa; Chordata; Mammalia; Didelphimorphia; Didelphidae.